AUGUCAAGAGUCCGUUUGGCAAGUGACACGUGCGACCUCUACUUCUCAUACAUAAAGGUGAAUAUUCUCCUUUACACGUGUUCACUUGACCCCUUCGAGGAUGGUAUACUACUUAACACUCCACUCGUGUGCAUACAUAGGUAUUAUCAGAACGCUACGGACAACGAGGAGGAGUGCAAGCGCCAAGGAACAACUACACCAUCCGCGAGGGAAGCGUGGAAGAGAAGACGGAAGAAACAGAGCUGCUACAUGCUACAGCCACCGGACGACCGGACUACGCCGGACGUCCGACACCUGGAACUCCAGCCAGCCCAACAGUCCAGCCGACGAGAUCUACAACGACCGGACGACCGACCGAGAUCGGACGUCCGAUACCUCCCAGGCUGUUGGGGAUAUAACUACUGA
RNAcentral lists this ribosomal RNA (405 nucleotides) under Triticum aestivum (bread wheat). Its description in RNAcentral is "partial small subunit ribosomal RNA". The record is from RNAcentral. Lineage: Eukaryota; Viridiplantae; Streptophyta; Magnoliopsida; Poales; Poaceae.